GGAGAACAAACAGCUUGCCUCAGAUGUCAGCAGGAGCAUAGACCAUGGACAUCCACAAGAUUUCUGGCAUCAGCCACAUGCCACAGACCUCAACAUGGUCUCUGGUGGUAAUACAGACUAUGGACAUCAAAACAGCCCUCUGCCACAGCUCUGCUCAUGGACAUCAACAUGGCUUCAGGCAGCAGCACAAACCGUGGACAUCCAAAUGGCAUUCCGUGGUAACAUGGACCACAGACAACAACAUGGUCCCCGGCUGCAGUAGGACCAUGGACCAUUGUCCUCAGCAGCAGCACAGUAAGUUCCACCAACUGAGGAUCAAGUAUUCAAACACUGAGCCUUUUGGAGCCAUUCUCAUUCAAAU
Molecule: long non-coding RNA, 361 nt
Filed under: Cricetulus griseus (Chinese hamster)
Lineage: Eukaryota; Metazoa; Chordata; Mammalia; Rodentia; Cricetidae
Description: lncRNA (ENSCGRG00015030811.1)
Source: RNAcentral